This is a long non-coding RNA of Pseudopipra pipra, 944 nucleotides long. RefSeq lists it as uncharacterized. NCBI's taxonomy places the organism in Eukaryota, Metazoa, Chordata, Aves, Passeriformes, Pipridae. The record is from RefSeq and is a predicted model, not a curated record. The transcript is spliced from 3 exons.
UAAAUUAGCAAAAGCAUCACCAGCAGGUCAAGGGAGGUCAUUCUUCCUGUCUACUCAGCACUGGUGAGACACUUGCAUGGGACUGCCUCCAGCUCUGGGCUCCCCAGUGUAGUGAAAUCAGAAGGCAACACAACUGGUACCAGGUACAAGACUAAGACUGCUAUGACUUGCUUUGGAGAUGAAAUCAGAAGAUAGGUUAAUAUAUGCAUCAACAAAGAAUCCAAACCCGAAGUGAAUAAAGUAGUGAGCAACUUGUUCUAGAGAACCCUGUUCUGAGCAGGAAGUUAGACUACAUGAUCUUCAGAAGUGCCUUCAACCUCAACAAUUUCAGGCUCCUGUAACAAACCUUACGGAAAUAUACAGAAGCAUUUCUGUAUUCAUUUACACCUCUACCUAGAUAUAUCCAAGUUUCUUGUCUUGGAAAUGCCUUUUUCCUUAUUAGUUUGAUGACAGUAGAGCAGCUUCUAUACCUGUCACCUCCAUCACUCCCACCGUCUGCAGAAACUCUUCCCAACAGUGUCUCCAAAAAAGAGGGAAUGUCUUUUUGUGCAUGACUUAUUUUAGUCUUAUCCUAAUAUAGAAAUGCUGAUUUUAGGCGUUGUUAUUAAUCUCCUAAGAAACCCAUUGAAACCACAACCUUAAAAUAUGUUAAAUUCUAAAAGAGAAAGCUAUUUCAGAUAAGAUGUUCCAACUCAUUAAUUCCAGACUGAAAAGAAAGAUGUGCAGAAGUUAUUUCUACUACCCCUCUGUCGAGGUGAUCUACUUUUCACAUUAAAACACCCAGACCACUGCAGACAAUGAGCAUACCCUGCUGUUAUAAAGGAUUUAAUUAAUGACCAUUGUUCUGGAGACAUUCUACAGUCAAGUUGAACAAUAACAGAAAAUAGCUCUGGACUCUUUCAUCUGUGCCUCUUCUGCACCAAACUCCACUCACCAAGACAGAA